AGAAUCAACGCUGGCGGCGUGCCUAACACAUGCAAGUCGAACGAGAAAGUGGAGCAAUCCAUGAGUAAAGUGGCGCACGGGUGAGUAACACGUGACUAACCUACCCUUGAGUGGGGGAUAACCUAGAGAAAUCUGGGCUAAUACCGCAUAAUACCUUCGGGUCAAAGGAGCAAUUCGCUUAAGGAGGGGGUCGCGGCCGAUUAGUUAGUUGGCGGGGUAAUGGCCCACCAAGACUGUGAUCGGUAUCCGGCCUGAGAGGGCGCACGGACACACUGGAACUGAAACACGGUCCAGACUCCUACGGGAGGCAGCAGUGGGAAUUUUGCGCAAUGGGGGAAACCCUGACGCAGCAACGCCGCGUGGAGGAUGAAGUCCCUUGGGACGUAAACUCCUUUCGAUCGGGACGAUUAUGACGGUACCGAGAGAAGAAGCCCCGGCUAACUUCGUGCCAGCAGCCGC
This 459-nucleotide ribosomal RNA is filed under the name uncultured bacterium. Its description in RNAcentral is "SSU rRNA". It matches the Rfam family "Bacterial small subunit ribosomal RNA", at positions 26 to 518 of the family's 1533-position model. The record is from RNAcentral.